CGCAAGCUGACGAGCAAUACCGCGUGAGGGAGAAGGCUCUUGGGUCGUAAACCUCUUUUAUCAGGGAAGAACACAAUGACGGUACCUGAUGAAUCAGCAUCGGCUAACUCUGUGCCAGCAGCCGCGGUAAUACAGAGGAUGCAAGCGUUAUCCGGAAUUAUUGGGCGUAAAGCGUCCGCAGGUGGUUUUGAAAGUUUGCUGUCAAAGCGCGAGGCUCAACUUCGUAUCGGCGGUGAAAACUUCAAGACUAGAGUUUGGUAGGGGUCACGGGAAUUCCCAGUGUAGCGGUGAAAUGCGUAGAUAUUGGGAAGAACACCAGCGGCGAAAGCGCGUGACUGGGCCUGAACUGACACUCAUGGACGAAAGCUAGGGGAGCGAAAGGGAUUAGAUACCCCUGUAGUCCUAGCCGUAAACGAUGACAACUAGGUGUUGCCCGUAUCGACCCGGGCAGUGCCGUAGCCAACGCGUUAAGUUGUCCGCCUGGGGAGUACGCACGCAAGUGUGAAACUCAAAGGAAUUGACGGGGGCCCGCACAAGCGGUGGAGUAUGUGGUUUAAUUCGAUGCAACGCGAAGAACCUUACCAAGGCUUGACAUGUGCAGAAUCCUCUUGAAAGGGAGGAGUGCCUUCGGGAGCUGCAACACAGGUGGUGCAUGGCUGUCGUCAGCUCGUGUCGUGAGAUGUUGGGUUAAGUCCCGCAACGAGCGCAACCCUCGUUUCUAGUUGCCAUCAUUCAGUUGGGCACUUUAGAGAGACUGCCGGUGACAAACCGGAGGAAGGUGGGGAUGACGUCAAGUCAGCAUGCCCCUUACGCCUUGGGCUACACACGUACUACAAUGCUACGGACAAAGAGCCGCAAGUUCGCGAGGACAAGCAAAUCUCAUAAACCGUGGCUCAGUUCAGAUUGCAGGCUGCAACUCGCCUGCAUGAAGGCGGAAUCGCUAGUAAUCGCAGGUCAGCAUACUGCGGUGAAUACGUUCCCGGGCCUUGUACACACCGCCCGUCACACCAUGGGAGUUGGCCACGCCCGAAGUCGUUACUCCAACCGUUCGCGGAGGAGGAUGCCGAAGGCAGGGCUGAUGACUGGGGUGAAGUCGUAACAAGGUAGCCGUACCGGAAGGUGUGGCUGGAUCACCUCCUUAUAGGGAGACCUACCCGUUUCGACUUGAACGCUCAAUUCCUAAUUCAACCUUGGUUGAGUGAGGGAGAAAGCUAUUAGAGCAGAGACCGGUCAUCCCAAGGUCGUUCGAGGAUUGAGUGUUGACUUCUAGACUAUGUAAGAUUGGUUCGGGUUAUGGGCUAUUAGCUCAGGUGGUUAGAGCGCACCCCUGAUAAGGGUGAGGUCCCUGGUUCGAGUCCAGGAUGGCCCACCUUUUGAAACGAGGGGGUUUAGCUCAGUUGGUAGAGCGCCUGCUUUGCAAGCAGGAUGUCAACGGUUCGAGUCCGUUAACCUCCACUGAAAGCUGAGAGCUUUCCACCCCGAAUCGACUUCAAUUUCAGCAACUUAUCUGAUGAGUUACAUUCGUACUUUAUGUCUUUCUUGUACAUUGAGUAUUGAUUGUAUAACUGACAUUAGAGAGCCUGCUGGACUUGUUCCAGACAGAACCAUGAAAACUGCAUAGAAACUUGUCAGGUAGAAAGUAGUAAAUCUUUCACUAGUUGCUCACAAGGUAACGRGUGAGGGAUUUCCACAAAUAUCACAGACACCAAUG
Molecule: small RNA, 1711 nt
Filed under: Phormidesmis nigrescens LK016
Lineage: Bacteria; Bacillati; Cyanobacteriota; Cyanophyceae; Leptolyngbyales; Leptolyngbyaceae
Description: bacterial SSU rRNA
Rfam family: Bacterial small subunit ribosomal RNA (bases 1-1141)
Source: RNAcentral